UUUUACAAUGGAGAGUUUGAUCCUGGCUCAGGAUGAACGCUAGCUACAGGCUUAACACAUGCAAGUCGAGGGGAAACGGCAUUGAGUGCUUGCACCGAUUGGACGUCGACCGGCGCACGGGUGAGUAACGCGUAUCCAACCUACCCAUUACUAAGGGAUAACCUGCCGAAAGGCAGACUAAUACCUUAUGUAAUUCUUAGAUGACAUCAGAUGUGAAGGAAAGAUUUAUCGGUUAUGGAUGGGGAUGCGUCUGAUUAGCUUGUUGGCGGGGUAACGGCCCACCAAGGCGACGAUCAGUAGGGGUUCUGAGAGGA
Molecule: ribosomal RNA, 314 nt
Filed under: Nanosynbacter sp.
Lineage: Bacteria; Bacillati; Minisyncoccota; Nanosynbacteria; Nanosynbacterales; Nanosynbacteraceae
Description: bacterial SSU rRNA
Rfam family: Bacterial small subunit ribosomal RNA
Source: RNAcentral